This 636-nucleotide ribosomal RNA is filed under the name Stenotrophomonas sp. RNAcentral's name for it is "partial 16S rRNA". Lineage: Bacteria; Pseudomonadati; Pseudomonadota; Gammaproteobacteria; Lysobacterales; Lysobacteraceae. The record is from RNAcentral.
GCUGCCUUCGCCAUGGAUGUUCCUCCUGAUCUCUACGCAUUUCACUGCUACACCAGGAAUUCCGCUACCCUCUACCACACUCUAGUCGCCCAGUAUCCACUGCAGUUCCCAGGUUGAGCCCAGGGCUUUCACAACGGACUUAAACGACCACCUACGCACGCUUUACGCCCAGUAAUUCCGAGUAACGCUUGCACCCUUCGUAUUACCGCGGCUGCUGGCACGAAGUUAGCCGGUGCUUAUUCUUUGGGUACCGUCAUCCCAACCGGGUAUUAGCCAGCUGGAUUUCUUUCCCAACAAAAGGGCUUUACAACCCGAAGGCCUUCUUCACCCACGCGGUAUGGCUGGAUCAGGCUUGCGCCCAUUGUCCAAUAUUCCCCACUGCUGCCUCCCGUAGGAGUCUGGACCGUGUCUCAGUUCCAGUGUGGCUGAUCAUCCUCUCAGACCAGCUACGGAUCGUCGCCUUGGUGGGCCUUUACCCCGCCAACUAGCUAAUCCGACAUCGGCUCAUUCAAUCGCGCAAGGUCCGAAGAUCCCCUGCUUUCACCCGUAGGACGUAUGCGGUAUUAGCGUAAGUUUCCCUACGUUAUCCCCCACGACAGAGUAGAUUCCGAUGUAUUCCUCACCCGUCCGCCACUC